Molecule: ribosomal RNA, 523 nt
Filed under: uncultured bacterium
Lineage: Bacteria
Description: partial 16S ribosomal RNA
Rfam family: Bacterial small subunit ribosomal RNA
Source: RNAcentral
GACGAACGCUGGCGGCGUGCCUAAUACAUGCAAGUCGAACGCUUUUUCUUUCACCGGAGCUUGCUCCACCGAAAGAAAAAGAGUGGCGAACGGGUGAGUAACACGUGGGUAACCUGCCCAUCAGAAGGGGAUAACACUUGGAAACAGGUGCUAAUACCGUAUAACACUAUUUUCCGCAUGGAAUAAAGUUGAAAGGCGCUUUUGCGUCACUGAUGGAUGGACCCGCGGUGCAUUAGCUAGUUGGUGAGGUAACGGCUCACCAAGGCAACGAUGCAUAGCCGACCUGAGAGGGUGAUCGGCCACACUGGGACUGAGACACGGCCCAGACUCCUACGGGAGGCAGCAGUAGGGAAUCUUCGGCAAUGGACGAAAGUCUGACCGAGCAACGCCGCGUGAGUGAAGAAGGUUUUCGGAUCGUAAAACUCUGUUGUUAGAGAAGAACAAGGAUGAGAGUAAAACGUUCAUCCCUUGACGGUAUCUAACCAGAAAGCCACGGCUAACUACGUGCCAGCAGCCGCGGUAA